RNAcentral lists this transfer RNA (22 nucleotides) under Pelusios gabonensis. Its description in RNAcentral is "partial transfer RNA-Leu". The record is from RNAcentral. Lineage: Eukaryota; Metazoa; Chordata; Testudines; Pelomedusidae.
ACUUUCAUAGGACAGAAGUAAU